Sesamum indicum (sesame) is the source of this 821-nucleotide long non-coding RNA. RefSeq lists it as uncharacterized. The record is from RefSeq and is a predicted model, not a curated record. NCBI's taxonomy places the organism in Eukaryota, Viridiplantae, Streptophyta, Magnoliopsida, Lamiales, Pedaliaceae.
GAUUUGGGAUUCGCAAUGGGAUUGUCCCCAAUGGGACAAGGUACAGACUUGUUUACUACAUCCAACAGGAAUCACAAUAUAUCCUUUGAAAUUUGUUUACAAGCACGGAUUAAAUGGAGCAUUUACUAGCGAAAUUACCUUCUUGUCCCCUGGAAAUUUUGAAAUUCCAUAUCAUCUGCCCUCAUUCCUCGUUUGUCUUACCCCUCUUUCCCCCAAAUCUGUUUUCAUCCUUUCGACAUUUUGCAGCAAAGAAAGGAGACUCCGCUUGAUUCGUUCGAAGCCACGACAUCGAUCAAAAUCUUUUUGCACGCAAAUUCUGUGGCUUCCAAACCCCUUCGGACCGAGAUACCAUUUGAACCAAGACGUAUUACUAUUCCGACGAACGGAAGUGGGAGUAGAUGAAGGAGAUCUUGGGGGGAGGUGACAUUCUUUCAUCGGGUGAAGACACUACACAAUUGUACGAAUUCAGCGAUGAUGGAUCCGACGUCAAUGUGUUGGGAGUGAACGGACGAGGAACGUGUGGAGGUAGUGAAUUUGGUUACAAGCUCAGACGACGAGUGAAAAUAUUUGAUAAGAUUGUAUGGACGAAAAGUUCAGCUUGUUGUGGUCGGAUGACAUUUGUUGAACCUAUUUUGUUGUUAAUCGAAUUGAUGUUUUAAUUGCCCCAAUUGAAAAGUAGAAACUUUUGUACUGGGCGACCUCAAGUUUAAAUUAUGUUUUGUUGGGUACUUAAUCAGACGGAAGGCAUUUUGUGGUUGUUUCUUAUGUUUAUAGUGCUAUGUUGUUCAUAUGGCCAUGUCUUUCAGUACAUUUUAUACACG